This 548-nucleotide ribosomal RNA is filed under the name uncultured Burkholderia sp. Its description in RNAcentral is "bacterial SSU rRNA". It matches the Rfam family "Bacterial small subunit ribosomal RNA", at positions 355 to 896 of the family's 1533-position model. Lineage: Bacteria; Pseudomonadati; Pseudomonadota; Betaproteobacteria; Burkholderiales; Burkholderiaceae. The record is from RNAcentral.
UGGGGAAUUUUGGACAAUGGGCGCAAGCCUGAUCCAGCAAUGCCGCGUGUGUGAAGAAGGCCUUCGGGUUGUAAAGCACUUUUGUCCGGGAAGAAAUCCCUGGUCCUAAUAUGGCCGGGGGAUGACGGUACUGGAAGAAUAAGCACCGGCUAACUACGUGCCAGCAGCCGCGGUAAUACGUAGGGUGCGAGCGUUAAUCGGAAUUACUGGGCGUAAAGCGUGCGCAGGCGGUGAUGUAAGACCGAUGUGAAAUCCCCGGGCUUAACCUGGGAACUGCAUUGGUGACUGCAUCGCUCGAGUAUGGCAGAGGGGGGUAGAAUUCCACGUGUAGCAGUGAAAUGCGUAGAGAUGUGGAGGAAUACCGAUGGCGAAGGCAGCCCCCUGGGUCAAUACUGACGCUCAUGCACGAAAGCGUGGGGAGCAAACAGGAUUAGAUACCCUGGUAGUCCACGCCCUAAACGAUGUCAACUGGUUGUCGGGCCUUCAUUGGCUUGGUAACGUAGCUAACGCGUGAAGUUGACCGCCUGGGGAGUACGGUCGCAAGAUUA